RNAcentral lists this ribosomal RNA (384 nucleotides) under Anopheles funestus (African malaria mosquito). RNAcentral's name for it is "eukaryotic large subunit ribosomal RNA". It matches the Rfam family "Eukaryotic large subunit ribosomal RNA", at positions 2788 to 3167 of the family's 3401-position model. The record is from RNAcentral. Lineage: Eukaryota; Metazoa; Arthropoda; Insecta; Diptera; Culicidae.
CGUUCACUUCGGAAGGUUUCGCUGCAGACUCACAGGGAUAACUGGCUUGUGGCCGCAACGUUCAUAGUCGACGUGGCUUUUUGAUCCUUCGAUGUCUGCUUUCUAUCUGUGUAAUAGCAAAAUUACCAAGCGUAUAGGAUUGUUCACCCUUCAAGGGAACGUGAAGUGGGGUUUAGACGUCGUGAGACGCAGCGGUUAGUUUUACCCUACUGUGUGCCAGUUGUCGCUAUCUUAACGGAAUCCUGUGCAGUACGGAGGAACCACAGGUUACGACCACUGGCUCAAUACUAGUUCGAACUGACUAUGGUUAUGACGUACUGUCCGGCUGGAUUAUUUGCCUGAACGCCUAUAAGGUCGUAUCAAUCGGAGCUGAUAGCGUUCUUA